GACGAACGCUGGCGGCGUGCUUAACACAUGCAAGUCGAACGAUGAAGCCGGAGCUUGCUCUGGUGAAUUAGUGGCGAACGGGUGAGUAACACGUGAGUAACCUGCCCUUGACUCUGGGAUAACUGCUAGAAAUGGUAGCUAAUACCGGAUACGACCCUCGGAGGCAUCUCCAGGGGGUGGAAAGAAUUUCGGUCAAGGAUGGACUCGCGGCCUAUCAGCUAGUUGGUGAGGUAAUGGCUCACCAAGGCGACGACGGGUAGGCGGCCUGGGAGGGUGGCCGGCCACACUGGGACUGAGACACGGCCCAGACUCCUACGGGAGGCAGCAGUGGGGAAUAUUGCACAAUGGGCGCAAGCCUGAUGCAGCAACGCCGCGUGAGGGAUGACGGCCUUCGGGUUGUAAACCUCUUUUAGUAGGGAAGAAGCGAAAGUGACGGUACCUGCAGAAAAAGCACCGGCUAACUACGUGCCAGCCGCCGCCGUAA
RNAcentral lists this ribosomal RNA (484 nucleotides) under uncultured bacterium. RNAcentral describes it as "partial 16S ribosomal RNA". It matches the Rfam family "Bacterial small subunit ribosomal RNA", at positions 28 to 523 of the family's 1533-position model. The record is from RNAcentral.